UGAGUUUGAUCAUGGCUCAGAUUGAACGCUGGCGGCAGGCCUAACACAUGCAAGUCGAGCGGUAACAGGACUAGCUUGCUAGUUGCUGACGAGCGGCGGACGGGUGCGUAACACGUAGGAAUCUGCCCGGUAGUGGGGGAUAGCCCGGAGAAAUCCGGAUUAAUACCGCAUACGCCUUACGAGGGAAAGGAGGGGACUCUUCGGAGCCUUUCGCUAUCGGAUGAGCCUGCGUCGGAUUAGCUAGUUGGUGGGGUAAAGGCCUACCAAGGCGACGAUCCGUAGCUGGUCUGAGAGGAUGAUCAGCCACACUGGGACUGAGACACGGCCCAGACUCCUACGGGAGGCAGCAGUGGGGAAUAUUGCACAAUGGGGGAAACCCUGAUGCAGCCAUGCCGCGUGUGUGAAGAAGGCUCUAGGGUUGUAAAGCACUUUCAGCGAGGAGGAAAGGUUGCUGGUUAAUACCCAGCGGCUGUGACGUUACUCGCAGAAGAAGCACCGGCUAACUCCGUGCCAGCAGCCGCGGUAAUACGGAGGGUGCGAGCGUUAAUCGGAAUUACUGGGCGUAAAGCGUGCGUAGG
This 578-nucleotide ribosomal RNA is filed under the name uncultured Gammaproteobacteria bacterium. RNAcentral's name for it is "bacterial SSU rRNA". It matches the Rfam family "Bacterial small subunit ribosomal RNA", at positions 1 to 575 of the family's 1533-position model. Lineage: Bacteria; Pseudomonadati; Pseudomonadota; Gammaproteobacteria. The record is from RNAcentral.